CUGAAGAUGCAGUGGGAAGGAGCAAGGCUACUUGAAAAAGAAGAGUACCAAAGUCCGGUACGACUGGGCAAAAUUGGGCAUUUUAAAGUCUUUGCUCCGUUCCUGUUACACGAUAGCGAGCAAAGAGGGGCAGCUGUAACACCUUAUUUUGGCCCGGGUCUAAAGGGCCAGAAUUGCAAAUGGGUUUAUGUGGCCCAAAACCCGAAAUACAACAGGGGCCCAAAGCUCAAUGGCCCAAAUCAUUUGCAGAAACCUUAGGGUUUCUGAGGAAGCCUUUGCGUCGCAGCCACGAGCGUCCUCGGUCUUCACCUGCGCAUCAAGGAAAA
RNAcentral lists this long non-coding RNA (326 nucleotides) under Gossypium barbadense (sea-island cotton). RNAcentral describes it as "long non-coding RNA (GBAR_LNC017258)". The record is from RNAcentral. Lineage: Eukaryota; Viridiplantae; Streptophyta; Magnoliopsida; Malvales; Malvaceae.